CAGACUACACUUUACAGGAUCAUUUCUGUAGUCAGUGUUCAGUUAUUUCCAUUUCAAAAUGGCCACCAAAACCAAUUUUUUAUGU
RNAcentral lists this small nucleolar RNA (85 nucleotides) under Glossina morsitans morsitans. RNAcentral's name for it is "small nucleolar RNA U3". Lineage: Eukaryota; Metazoa; Arthropoda; Insecta; Diptera; Glossinidae. The record is from RNAcentral.